Molecule: ribosomal RNA, 253 nt
Filed under: uncultured bacterium
Lineage: Bacteria
Description: partial 16S ribosomal RNA
Rfam family: Bacterial small subunit ribosomal RNA
Source: RNAcentral
UACGGGGGGGGCAAGCGUUGUUCGGAAUUACUGGGCGUAAAGGGCUCGUAGGCGGCCAACUAAGUCAGACGUGAAAUCCCUCGGCUUAACCGGGGAACUGCGUCUGAUACUGGAUGGCUUGAGUUCGGGAGAGGGAUGCGGAAUUCCAGGUGUAGCGGUGAAAUGCGUAGAUAUCUGGAGGAACACCGGUGGCGAAGGCGGCAUCCGGGACCGAGACUGACGCUGAGGAGCGAAAGCCAGGGGAGCAAACGGG